This 74-nucleotide transfer RNA is filed under the name Pseudomonas pohangensis. Its description in RNAcentral is "tRNA_Arg_CCT". It matches the Rfam family "tRNA". From Rfam's summary of the family: Transfer RNA (tRNA) molecules are approximately 80 nucleotides in length. Their secondary structure includes four short double-helical elements and three loops (D, anti-codon, and T loops). Further hydrogen bonds mediate the characteristic L-shaped molecular structure. tRNAs have two regions of fundamental functional importance: the anti-codon, which is responsible for specific mRNA codon recognition, and the 3' end, to which the tRNAs corresponding amino acid is attached (by aminoacyl-tRNA synthetases). tRNAs cope with the degeneracy of the genetic code in two manners: having more than one tRNA (with a specific anti-codon) for a particular amino acid; and 'wobble' base-pairing, i.e. permitting non-standard base-pairing at the 3rd anti-codon position. The record is from RNAcentral. Lineage: Bacteria; Pseudomonadati; Pseudomonadota; Gammaproteobacteria; Pseudomonadales; Pseudomonadaceae.
GUCCCAGUAGCUCAGCUGGAUAGAGCAGCCCCCUCCUAAGGGGCAGGUCAGCCGUUCGAAUCGGCUCUGGGACG